Lolium perenne is the source of this 5632-nucleotide long non-coding RNA. RefSeq lists it as uncharacterized. The record is from RefSeq and is a predicted model, not a curated record. Lineage: Eukaryota; Viridiplantae; Streptophyta; Magnoliopsida; Poales; Poaceae.
GACUGUUUUUUAUCCUAUCUCUGGAACUCACCCGAAAACUCAGUCUUCUCUUUCUUCCCCAAUUUUCUUCACGCACGGCGAGUCCCCGCCGAUCCCCCGAUGAGCUUCUCCGGCGAACCGCCGUGGUCCACCCUCGGCGCGCCUACUGUGCUCCCCCGCCCCACUUCGCUGCCCUGCUCCUCCUCCACCACGCGAACCAUCAAGCCCCGGAGGGCUAUCGCCGCCGCGCGCCCGGAGGGCUGCUGCCGCCAUGACCCUGUGGCGAGGCACAGUAGACGUCGGGGCAAAGCUCCGAAGAUCGUAUUUUUGAAGAUUCGGGCGCGCUGUAGUAGGAGGUCGAGCGGCGGGCGGAUAUCUGGAGGGCAGAGAUGGGAUGCAUUAUUCAAAAGAGGAGGAGGUGGAGGCCGAAGUGGAAAAUCGCAUCCUGGACCUCUUCCACCAUUCUCUGGUGCGGCGCCAACAAGGUCGUCCUCGACAGUCGUGAUCCCGGCAGGGCAGCAGUUGCCUCCUCCCUCGGACUGUUCUCGACGCCCUUCAUGAGCAUAUGGCCGCACUCUGCUGGGAACCCGGCUCAACAGCGAUGUACCUCGGGGUCAAGCCGGCAAGAUCGCCGCCUGCAGGAGUGGUGCAUGUCGGGUAGACGUACCACCAGGAUGGGGUUGAGGGGCUGCUGAAGGCGGUUGACUUGGAGGGAGAAAUGAGCAAUGGUUUGCUGCUUAAGUCGUCGCUGCGAUGUAUGCCCUAGCCCCCUGAACUAACUCAGUUAGGUUUUGUCAGAAGUGGAUGCAAUCCAGCAGGGGUUUGGAGUCCCACAAGCAGGGUCUCGGAAGCGGUCCAGAAAGGACUGACCAAUGAGGACAGCCAAAAUGAUAUAGUAGGAGGCUAUUUAUGGAAGGUACUUCGCUAAAUUCGAUGUUCCAACCUACUGUAAUACUACUUUCCAGUGUGGUUGUGAUAUGAUGCAUUCCACACAAACCAGCUUUUUUUUUGGAAACCAGUUUCCUCCGACUGGAGCCACCAUGCCAUUCCACACAAACAUCUGAAGCUGGAGUGUGUCAAGUCCUCUGCGGUGCAAAGCAGGAUGUGUCACUGUGGAUGUCCCCAAUUGGACAGCAAGUAAGAGGAUGUCAAAAUAUGGCAACCCUGUAGCACAUAAUUCAGUUUUUAGUGUUAGCUAGAUUAAACCUUAAGUGUGCAAUUUGAUCUGCUCAGUUCCUGCAUUAAAUACCUUUGAUAUUUGGAUGAUUUAUAAGUGCCCAUCAUUUACCUGUUUUGAGCAUGUAUUAGAGGUAUAUGUUCUUUCGAAGACCAGUCCUGAGGGUAUGUUACUACUUUGUUAGAUGCUUUUUACUGAGCAGAGUAGACGUUAAUUUCAGGGAAGUCUAAGGGUAGAUAUUUUAUGUUUGUUAACAAAAAAAAACUUGCAUAGAGAGGGGCACACACUACCAUCAAAUUAGUUUUCUUCAGAUCGACCUCAUUGGACGGAUAUAUUAUGUGUGAAAUUUGGCAAUUUGGUGGUGGAUAGUCUAUCAUCAUAGUCUUAUUUUCUUUUCUUACCUUGGCAAGCUAAAGAUUAUUUUUCCUUUGAGACAAACAUUAAAUUUUGAGGCAUCCAUGAUCUGGCCCUGUGGUUCGAGCACACGAGCUUGUGGUGUUCGAAUGUUGGUGCCCGACAGUCUACAGAGCCGCUAAUGAACUACCAGGACAUAUCUGCCAGUAAUACAGGAGCGUGAUGUUAGUACUGGAUUGUGUGGCCUUCAAAGUUUCCUCUAUAAUGUCUCCACAAAGGAUUAUAGAUGUUGACUAUUUUUUUUUAAACUGAGGUAAAUCAAUCCCCUUCUAAGUUCUUCUCUACUUUCCUUCUUCCCGUAGCAAUUUCUGUACAUUUAUGUAUUUCAAGUGUGCAGAUAAUUUGUGUUUUUUUCCUUCUUCCACUAUUUCUAAUCAUAUAUGAGUCCCUGUUAAAAAAAAGAUCUGCAAUAAGUGCCAUUUUCGAUCUCUUCUGCUCUAUCCAUGUGAUUGCAGCAGGUAGAUCCAUGGUCCUGAAUGUUAGCUUAUUCCUUAAUGGCCAUACACCAAACUUCUCCGAUUUUGUUAUUUUAGCUUUCUUCGUCAACAAUUAGGUUACUUUAUAUUUCUGAAUUGUGAUCAGAUCUUUGUAAUACAUGGGACUGUACAAUUUUCCAGCAAAUAUUAUUUUCUCUUUGUACCCAUUUAAUGCUAGAGAAUUACUUCCUGGAGGGUUUCUUCCAAAUUGAUUGUUAAAAUUUUCACAUUAAGAACUCAUUGACCUAUUUUUCUGAACAUUAAAUUGCUGUCAUCUUUCCACUGAAGUUUUGAAGCUUAUAGGUAUUUCUCCUGCAAGUUUGUCUUAUUUUUCUAUAGAAAACCUCCAUAUUAUGUUCACCUUCCGGUUCAGAAGUUGCCCGUCCAUAGUUGCAGCACACCCUCCUGGCCCCACUCUGCCGCGGUGACCAAUUCUUAUGUGUCAUGUUAAGUUGUUGCCACUGGAAGAACGAGCAAAUAUGAUGAUUUCCUAACUGUGAUAAUUGCAUGUGUAAGUCCUUUGUUUAAUUCUAAAUAAGAUUCUUCAGUUGCUAAUUUCUUUUAGGAUAAAUCCCACAAUCCGGACAUAUCCAUUGUAUCUGGUUAAGAAAAGAUUGGGAGCAUAUGAUUUGUUCUGUUUAUUGGAUGUUGAAUAUGAAACUCUCAAACCUUCGUGGAUCUUGCUGCCCGUAGGAACAUUCCAUGUUUUCUCAGCUAAAAUAUAGCCAGUGGCACAGAAGAGGUUAGAUUUUGUUUUUACUUGAAUUUAUGUUCGCUUUGUAAUCCCAAAUUUCCUUUCUAAUUGGCAUCUGAUAGUGUGCGUACGGUUCGAUGUAGGUAUAAUAUUGACAUUUGCAAAUGCACUGCUAGAAAAUUUAACAAAAUAUAUGUGAAAUAUGCCAAUGAUUCUCUAUUCGCAGGUUAGGCACUCAUGAUGCAUACUCAUGUGGUUUAUUAUGCCUUCAAAGAGCCUCCGUGAAACCUGGUCUGUUAGAUGCAUAUUAGAGAAUACCAGAGAUAAUUGUUUUGUUGCAAUUGAUUUCUAUCUGGUGUUCUGCCUUUGUUUAGAUUCCGUUUGUGUGCUGGUAGUGUGAUUUCUGCGGACUACUCAGAUGUUCCUUCUGUUGGUGGAUACAAUUACUAGAUUGCAUAUAUUCGGUUUGUGAGCUGACUAAAUAUUUACUUUCAGAUUUUUUGACAGUAUGAACACAUCAGCGUGUAUGCUCUUAUGCCAAUUCAUAUCUUCACCGAUUUGUAUUGCUAAGAGUGGAGAAGCUACAUCAUCCAGUGUGUAUCAGCCUGCCAAUGGCUUCCCCGAAUUAAACACUUUCAGUGGUACUAUUACAGUUUGUAGUUUGAGGAUAUAAACUGAGCAGGUAAUCCUUUAGUUCAGCCUUGCUUUAGUGAAUAUGUAUCAUAUUACAGUUAUAAAUCCUUGCGUUCCAGCUGAUCAGAGCAUAUAUAGGUAUGAAGGUGUACAUCGACAUUACUAUGUAAACUCAGUUCCUCCAUUAGUAGAAUUAUUACUUUCUUAUAAGAGAUAAUAGGCAAUAUUAUGUACGAUUUCUCAACCUGAUGAGCUACUUUAAGGUGUUUACAUACAAAAUGAUACAUACCAUGUCAAAUCUUCUGAGAAAUUGUAACUUAGCUAUAAUUUAGUUCGACCUUCAUAUUUUAUCUAUGAUAUAUUUAUUUUCAAAAAUGUGUUCUAAUGAUUAAUUCCCUAAAAAUUAUCUCUAUGAUUUGCACUUUAACAAGUCAGAGGGAAGUCGGGAACCGUUGAAGGCCCUAUUGAUAUUUAGCAGUUCAGUACAUGGCCUGUUUGAAUCAAAGGAUUGAACAGAGAGUGGAUGAUUGAAAUACUUAGAAUAUUUUCUGAUGGGAGUUGUUUGAUUUAUCACUUAUUUUCCCACGGGAUUUAUCACACAUUUUAUUAAAUGAAUUUCAUUUACUCAAAACCUAUUUGAAAUAAUAUAUUACUUAUCCUAUGGCUCAAUAGAAUAACUAAUUUAGUCAUGUCUAAUUUCAGUGGGAGUGACAUUGCAAUUAUACCUUUGGCACAUUUUUGGAAUAUUCAAAAGCGGGUCCCAUGGUUGCAUAAAAUUGAUACAAACAAUGUUCUGUUCAUGUUUUGAGUAUUGAUCACGUGUGCUUAUGUUGGCAGCAGUGUACAGUCUAUAUAAUAAUUACUAAUAAUAGCAUGCAUAUUGUCUUAUACCAGUAAAAUAUUUAUUAUCAUGGUGACUAGCUUUAUUUAGACGUGCUGAUCACACUAGGUAGUCCUCAAGUUCUAAUUUUCAUUCUCAGUGACAAACCAUUCUCCCACAUUCCGGUAUUUGAAAAUGCAUUAUGAUACAACUUUCAACCGUGGGUCCACAACCAAGUCCUAACAUACUUCAACUUUAUAGAUCUGUUGUUUCAAAUUAACAUGAAAUAAUUAAUAAUUUUUGGGCUACAUUUCUCCUUCAUUUUGUUGCAUAUAAGGAUAGCUCCCCAACUACUUUGCAUGCUUACUAAACAUUGCAAUUAUGCCUAUGGUACAUCAUUUUGUUUCAGCAGAUCCUCUACAUAAAAUGAUCGCUCUCCAGAAGAAUCAUGUGAGGAAGUUUGACAAGAUAGAACAAAAUUGACCUUGGCGGAAAAAGGAAUUGAUCAUGAACAAGACCAUCCUCCAACAACAAAUUUCAGGUUUGUGCAAAUGGUAGCUGCAGAGGUUCAGUGCUGAAACUACAUAUAGACGCUACUAUGUCACACGGACUGCUGCACUUCAAGCCACGGCAGCUCAGAUCACAGUACGCCUAUGUUAUGUGCACUUUUCACUAGAAAAUACUUCCACGUUAUACUAUAACCAGUGAUUUCUUCUCUACUUCGUGUUGAACUGAAUGAAUAUUAUACCGAAGACAACUCUUCGUCUCUUCUACCUUUAUAUCAUCCCUAAUCAGUUUCUUCAGUAAUAAGACAGUUUUUAUGCAGUUGAUUUUUACUCUGCCUUUCUAAUUUAUGUUUAUAGCAUGCACAUAACAGAACUCAAUUACAAUUCAGAAUGUCGAACUCAGUGAACUUCUCAGCACAGAUAAAAUUUACAUUCACUACGCGAACUUGUAGUAAAUACUGGAAAAAAAGAGCAACAUACUAGGAGAGAUCUACUUCACCAGCAUGAAUGGUUGCUCCCGUCCUCCCCCUCAGUCCGCCCUCCAUGGCUCUGUAUCCACCACGGCCUACCACUGCUGACUAAUUCCUCUGCAUCCAGGAGCUCAUCCUAGGUCGAUGACGCCCAAGUGCGGGAUCUCGGCCGGCCGCAAGACUCCAUCCCUGCAGGAGCCAAGGAACGAGGAACUCUUCCUCCUUUUCAUGGCUUACCUUUUUUCAUUUAUUUUUCUGGGUCUCUGGUUGCAGGAGUCAUCCUCCUCCCACUGGCACUUUUUGUCUUCUCUGGCUGGUUUGGUCGCUGGUGGUGAAGCCACUCACAGUUUCAGAAAAAAAUACAAGAUAAAGAGUAUUACAGAAAUAGUGAAAAGAAUAGUCAGAAUGGUGGGCCCAAUAUUACAGAGCUAGCACAUCUAGCCAAACCACCAUAUAUAUAUUU